This 109-nucleotide non-coding RNA is filed under the name Flavobacterium sp. RNAcentral describes it as "SAM-I sequence". It matches the Rfam family "SAM riboswitch aptamer (S box leader)". Rfam says of the family: The SAM riboswitch is found upstream of a number of genes which code for proteins involved in methionine or cysteine biosynthesis in Gram-positive bacteria. Lineage: Bacteria; Pseudomonadati; Bacteroidota; Flavobacteriia; Flavobacteriales; Flavobacteriaceae. The record is from RNAcentral.
AUGUUAUAAAGAAAGGCAGAGGGAUUAGACCCGAUGAAGCCUUAGCAACCCUUCGAUUUAUCGAAGAAGGUGCUGCAUUCUACCACAUCAUAAUGUGGAAAGAUAACAC